UACGUGAGCCCCAAGCGUUACCCGGAAUCACUGGGCGUAAAGGGUGUGUAGGCGGUUAUGUUAGUCUCUUGUGAAAGCCUCGGGCUCAACCCGAGAUCCGCGAGAGAAACGGCAUAACUAGAGGAUGCGAGGGGUUAAGGGAACUCAUGGUGUAGGGGUGAAAUCCGUUGAUAUCAUGGGGAACACCGAAAGCGAAGGCACUUAACUGGCGCAUUCCUGACGCUCAAACACGAAAGCGUAGGUAGCGAAUGGG
This 253-nucleotide unclassified non-coding RNA is filed under the name uncultured Parcubacteria group bacterium. Its description in RNAcentral is "contains 16S-23S intergenic spacer region". It matches the Rfam family "Bacterial small subunit ribosomal RNA", at positions 524 to 776 of the family's 1533-position model. The record is from RNAcentral.